Molecule: long non-coding RNA, 22345 nt
Filed under: Capsicum annuum
Lineage: Eukaryota; Viridiplantae; Streptophyta; Magnoliopsida; Solanales; Solanaceae
Description: long non-coding RNA (CANN_LNC007501)
Source: RNAcentral
UUGAAAUUAUGAAUAUAAACAUGUUUCAAGCAUCUUUAUGGUAUUGAUUUGGUCUUUACGCCUAUUUCCGAAGUGAUUUGAUAUAUUAUAUAUGCAUAUUCUUGUGAUUCAAAAGAUGUUAACUUGAGAGCAUGCAUUAUAUGAAACCCCUCUCUUGAUAUGAAAUUGUUUGAAAUUUUCAUAUGAUGUGAAUUGUUUGAAAUCAUCUUGACAAGCAUGACAUGAACUAUUUUGAAAGUGGAUAUGAUUUUUGACUUGCAAGGAGAGGGUUAUUAUGUUGAAAUAUGAUGAAUAUAAUAGUUGCAUGAAAGAAUAAUGUGAUAUUGAUGACUUGCAAGUCGGGUAUGAUGAUACCCUACAGAAUAUGAUAUGUGAUUGAAUUAGAUGAAAUUUGAAUGCAUUGAUUUUACAUGAGAUAGGUGGAUGCCCGAAGAAGGCGUUUGAGUGUAAGGGCUCAUCGUUGGAAACCGUGUUUGCCGACAUGGAAACUUGGUACCAUGCUUUGUGAUCUUGCGUACCUAACUUUAUGUCAUUACCAAAAUGAGACUAUGGUUAGGAGCCCUGGUUUGUGAUCUUGUGCACUACCAUUGGGUCGUGUGAUCUUGUGUGUCUUCCCCUCACUUAUACUCUAAUCUCGGCAGUAACCGAUAUUUGACAGUUGGUGUAAAUGUGAUAUGUAGGGUAUUCCACCUAGCUCUGCUGCAUUGCGUUGUUGUUGUAAACAAUUACAUUACGCCCAUGUGUUUUCAAAUGAUUUUAUAUGAAACUACUUUAUAAUGACUUUCAACAAUAUUUUGUAAAAAUAUUAUGUUUUGUUUUGAUAUCUCUAUGUACCAGUACUUUUGUAUUGACCCCCUUCCCUCCCAGGUUUUAGAGGCACAGUCUAGGGGUCUAGAAAAUCAGUAGAUUUCCUCAGAUAGAUUCGCAGAGUCACUUGGUGAACCUUCUAUAUUUUUGAAGGCCUGAUAUCUGGCAGUUUCAUUUAUCAUUUAUUAGUUUUGGGUCUACUGUGGGCCUUGUCCCAGUUUUCAGAUAGAUAUUUAUUUUAGUCAUGUAGUAGAGAUUUCGCAGACGUAAUAGAGAUGUUGAUUGAGAUUGUGGGACAUUAUUCCCCAUUAUUGUUUUCAUAUAAUUCUUGACCAUGUUUCCGUUAUAUAGUGUAUCUUCCGCAUUUUUUUUCAUAUAAGUCAUGUGCAUGAUUACCAGAUAGAUAAGGGGUGUUUCGACCUUGAUGGUUCGGAAUACUCGUCACGGCCAGGUCCUCGAUUCGGGUCGUGACACCACUAAACCUAUUAAACUCAAGAGCAAGUACCUCGAACUCAAUGAGGUUGCUUAUCUCUUUGGGUAUUUCACCUGGAAACACAUAUAGUGGAUUACUGGUGAGUUUAAAUAGUUGGUUCCAUCUAUUUUUUGCUAAGAUAUAAGAAUUGCUUCUUGUUUAUGUUGUCAAUCUCCCAUGAUAUAAUCCACUAAGAUAUUAACUUUUAUAUUGUUGGUCAUACGAAAGUAUUAAAAGAAAAAAGAAAAAAAAAAUAUGUAUAGAAGAUAAAUAUAUCUGAACAGAGCCAUUAAUCUGGCUUCGCUCUCCAUGCCUAAUACCCCCAAACUUAGAUACCUCAAUUAAUUCAAUAACUGAAAUUACCCCUGCAGUUACUGUGUAGUCAAAUAAAAUACCGAAGCAAUUAGAUACAAGCAUUCAUAAGAUAAAACAUACCUGUGAAAUGGUCAGUUCCGAGAAACAAUUGCUGCAAGUUACUAAAUCUUCCAAUUUCACUAUGUAUUGGUCCAUCAAACUCAUUUUCCGAUAAACCUAGUAGUUGAAGUUGUGAGCAAUUUGACAAGCUCGUCGGCAUAUGACCAUGACGCUUGUUAUCGGAUAGAUAAAGCCCUUUGAGUAUUGGGAGACCAUUGCAUAAACCAUUGGGCAGAUAUCCGAUAAGCUAUUGCCUGUAAAUGCAAUGACUUCGAUUCUUGAGAUAUUGAAAAUUGUGAAUGGUAUAGACCCCGUAAGUUGAUUAGCUUGUAUGCCCAACAACUUCAUGUUGUGAAGAUUGCCGAUCCCUUCUGGAAUAUUCCCUUGAAGUGAAUUAAAAGAUAUAUCUAAAGUCUCCAACCUCGAGACAUUUGAGAGUGAUAGAGGAAUAGAAGCUAUGAGCUUGUUACCUCGCAACCUUAAUUCUCCAAGGUUUAUAAGACUUCCAAUCACUUUUUGUAUUUGUCCCUCAAUUGAAUUUAAAUUCAGAUUCAAAAUCUCAAGUGUGGACACAUUAGAAAAUGUAGAAGGGAUGGAACCAGUGAAACUAUUAUUUCUAAUAUUAAUAACUUGAAGUUGGUGUAAAAACCCAAAACAACAAGGAAUCGCCCCUCUGAAGUUGUUGAAACUUAAAUCAAGAAACUUAAGCCGACGUAAGCGUGCCAUUUCAUGAGGCAAAUUUCCAUGGAAAUUGUUGCUUCCCAAGUCAAGAGAAACAAGAAAUGAGAGGUUUCCAAAUUCACAAGGAAUCUUGCCAGUAAGAGCCAUGUUAGAAAGAUUCAAGGAUUUCACUCAUUGGUGACGAGAACAACAAGUGACUCCAACCCAAUGACAAACAAAAACAGCGGGAGACCAGUUUUCAUCCAAGAAGUUGGAGGGGUUGGAAAUGAUUUGAGAUUUUAAGGACAAAAGAGCUAAUUGAUCAGUGGUAAUGUUGGUUUGAGUCAUGGCUGAACUAGCCAUAAGCAACAAGAGUGUUGAAGAGAAAAAAUGUGAAGAUUUUCUCCAUUAUUGCAUAAAUUUGUAGGUAGGCUCCAUAACAUGUGAUUUUGAGACUUUAAAUAGCAAUGAGGUCUCCCUUUUGGUCUUCAUGAUUUUAAAAAAAAUACUUUUCCUCAUUCAUUCUCUUAUAUUUAGUGGCUGAAUCAAAAUUUUCAACAAAAAAAUUCAAAAUAUAAAGAAGUAAAUUCAUCAAAAAAUCAAAGAGUAUCAUUAUGUAAUAUAUACAUAAAAAAUAUUUUUACAUACCUACACAAUGUAUUUUUUAGACUAACAUGUGGCUCCGCCAUUGGUCAUAUCAAUUUUAAUUUCACCAAGUUUUGCACGUUUCAAUCAGCCCAAGACUUGUGCAAGUCAUCAACCAAGUCUUGCUUUAUCUUUUCUGGACUAGACUUUAUGUUCCUCUAAUAGAUUAGUAAAAUUAACUUAUACUAUACGCUCGAGAAAUAUUUUUACAAGAUUUGCAUAGUUUACAUCUUUAUAAUCCUUUUAUCUCUAGCUAAGAAAGAAUAUGUUGUUAAUUUAGAUCAUUUUUGUAUACAAUGGUAAUAAAAGGAGCUUUUAAUUAUAGUUUAUAAUGUUAGAAUUUUUUUCCUGAUUUUCUUACCAAGUUUAAGUUUUUCUUUUCUUGAAAAAAAAAAAUAAUACCAUAAUUACUUUUACUUUUCCUAAAAAGAAAAUAUAAAUCUUUUUCAUAUUUGGCAAACGUCUUUCUUGGAGGAAAGGUUUUGAAUUUGAACAUGUGGUAGUUCAUUACUAUAACACAAUAACCUCCACAAGGUAGUUCAUUAAAUAAUUUUGUUUAGAGGGAUAUUUUCUCCUAAUAGGUUUUAAAUUUUUCAUUAUUAUUUUAAUAUGUAGGUCAUUUGACCAAAUCAUAUUAAUAAUAUAUUUUUAGUAUUUGUUUUUAAUUUAGUAUCAUCUUAUUUAUCAUUUCUAUAGUUUGCAACUAUUAGCUUCCGCAUGAUUCCCUCUCGAUUUCGAACCCAACAUAUAAUUUGUUUGAAAUUUUGAUUUGUUUUAUAAUAAAUUUGUAUGAACUUUUUUUUUAUAAAAGAAUUCACAACAUUAAGAGCCCAUUUGAAUAGGAUUAAAAUCAGGUCAAAUUAAUUUUUAAACUUUUAUUUUUAGUUUUUUUUUAAAAAAUAUUUGAUAAAAUUAAAAAGUGCUAAAAAAAUGAAAAAACUAUUUUUUUUUUAAAUAAAAAUAAAAAAGUGGGAAGCUGUGUACCCUCACCUUUUUAUUUUUUGGAUUAAAAUUCUUGGAGGUUUUGAUAAAAAUAUUUAUCUUUUUAUCCCUUAUAUUUUCCUUUAAUUCCAAUGAUACCAUGAACUUGUAGCCCAUGAAUAUGUGAUUUUUCUUUCUUUUUUUCCCUGGUUCUUUUUGUCUCUUUCCUUCAAUUUUCUCUUCAUCUUUCUCCUUUGUUUUGAGAAAAUUCAUCAUUACAUCGGAGGUUUGUUCAUGAACUUUUCUUAAGUGUCGUAUUUUCUAGACAUGUUCUAUCUCUUUUAUUUUAAAUAUUUUUUAGUUAGUUUAAAAUGAAGGAUUCUCUUGUUAUCUCGACAUUGUAUUUUUCUCCACAAAUUUUUCAAAUGGAAUAAGUCAAAAGAAACAAGAAAUGUGAGGCUUCCAAAUUCACUGGAAAUCUUGCAAGAGUUAUGUUGGAAAGAUUUAAGGAUCUCACUCUCUGGUGAUGAGAAUCACAAGUAACUCCUACCCAAUGGUAAACAAAAGUACCAGAAGACCAACUCUUUUUUUAUAAAUAUAAAUAUACAUGUCAAGCAAGUCUAGAAGAUAUAUAUAUAUAUAUAUAUAAAGACUUGUACAAAUCAACCAAGUCAUGUUUUAUUUCACAUUGGGCUUAAAUUCUUUGUAAAUAGUCUCGCUUUCGCAUUCUCUAGAAUACUUACUACUCUCUUAGUCCUAUAAUAAGUUUGACCUUAAUAAACAAAAACUAUUAUUACCUAAGGAAUUCUAGAAAAAAAAUCUUAUGUUUUUCCAAUUAUACUCUUGUACUCCAUCUUCUUGACAGUGUCCAAUUUUCAAGAGAAAUUUAUUAAAUUGGGGUAAUUUAGUAAAUUAAAUAUCUUUUUUGUCUUGAUUUCUUGAAGGGAGUGAUUUUUGCUAUGAUAACAUUUUUUCUUUUUGGGGCGGCUGUUACCACUAUUAAACAAUAAAUCAAUAAUUAUUGUUUAGUUGGCUUGGAAAAAAAAACAGUUAGACGGUUUCCUAUUGGAUGGUUUUAAAAAUAUUUCUCCAUAUUACCAACUUUCAGCAAGCAAAGAAGAAAAUUUGCUUUCACGUUCUACAAUUGGUGUUGAAUUUGGUACAAGAACUAUUCAUGUUGAUGACAAAAUUGUCAAAGUUCAAAUUUGGGAUACUGCUGGUCAAGAAAUGUGCCAUUUCCUUUUCCUUUAUUCUAUUAUUAAAUCGUGAUGGAUCUAGAAUUUUAAGUUGAUAUGUAAUUGUGAUUAAUGCGCGCACACACAUAUAUAAUGUUUGACCAUAUUUUGGUGUUCGCAGGUAGGUAUUUAAACUUGUAUACAAUUGAACAAGUAGAAAUACACAUCAUAUGUGACAACUACGUCGCAUCUACAUGGCAAUCUCAUACGAAUUACCACAUAGAUGACACAUAGGGCGUGUGUGUUUACUUGUUCAAUCUAACACAAAUUUAAGUGUCUAUUUGUGCACAUCCAAAGUUGGAGGACAUAGAUGCGAGCUGAAGUCAAGUUAAAGGGCAUACUUACGUAUGAUGCCAAAUUUGUAUGUUGAAAGAAUUCGAUGGUGAAAUAUAUGCUACGAAAGAAGUGGUUAUGUUGACCUUAUGCUACGAUUCUUCGUUCUCUUAAUAAAUUUCUAGUUAGAUGAUCACUGUGUCCACUAAUUUUACAAUAUCCGCGCCUCUCCCUGAAUUAUAUCUGAUCGUUUUUCAUGUCUCAUAAAAAGGUAUCGAUCCAUCACUAGUGGAAAUUAUCGCGGAACAGUGGGUGCCUUACUGGUUUACGACAUAACACGCCAUGUUACAUUUGAGAAUGUAGCAAGAUGGCUCAAAGAAUUGAGAGACCACACAGACCAAAACAUCGUUUUAAUGCUCGUGGGGAAUAAGGCGGAUCUUCGCCACCUCAGAGCUUUCCCCACGGGCGAAUCAAGUGGUUUUGCAGAAAGAGAGAACACUUUCUUCAUGGAAACAUCUGCACUUGAGGCACUCAAUGUAGAAAACUCCUUCACAGAAGUACUCACUCAGAUUUAUCAAGUGGUUAGUCGUAAAGCUCUUGAUAUAGGAGAUGAUCCUGCAUCUAUACCAAGAGGACAGACAAUUAACAUCGGAAAAGAUGAUGUAUCUGCUGAUAAGAAAGGUGGAUGUUGUUCAGAAUGAGUAUGAUCCCUUUUUCCGUAUACACAAAGGUGGACUCUCCCUAGAUCUGCCUCUGGAUGAAAGCAUAUAAUACUCAAAACUAAUCUCAUUUUCAACAAAUGUAAGUUGGACAAAAGAACUAAUAGCACAGUAUAUUGUUGAGGAAACUAAAGGGGGAUGGAAUUUGUAAAAGGGGAAUUUCAGCUAAGCAAAACUUCUUGUUUCCAUAAGAUACUUGCAAUAGACUGAAUGUCUAUGUUGCUCGGACUCUUCAAAAAUGUAGAUGUGUGCGUGUUUGAAUCUUCUAAAGUAGUGUAUUUUUUAAGUAUUCUGUCAUAAGGCUGCAACAGUCAGAUUUAUUGCAACCAGCUAGAACUGUUGAAAACAGAAUCAUGCCCAAAUCAAGUGCUAAAAGAUAAAAGCGAACCACUAUAAAAAUUUGCAACAUUGUUCAACAUGCAAGAAGUUGAACAUUGAUCUUCUGUAGCAUUCCUAUAACAUCGCUCAUGUUAGUCCUUCUUGCCGGAUUUUCAGCACAACAAUCCAAUGCUACAAUCAUGAUUGAUGCCACAACAUCUAGUUUCAUUUGUAAGCGACUACCCAUUUGGGUUACCAAGUUGGCAUCUACGACGUCCAUUACAGCAUCUGGAAGUGAAAAACUCACCCAUUGCUUCAAGCUAAGAUCUCCCUCAAACUCAUUGGGCUUUCUCCUAGUAAACGUUUCCAGCAACAUGACCCCAUAACUAUAGACGUCGCACUUUGCUGACACUAGUCCAUUCAGUCCAUACUCUACAGUCAAACAAUUCAUUUAAAGAUACAAUAAACUUUCUUGGUAGGAAAAAAGGAAAGGAGUAAUCAGCAAAACUAAGAGAUGUACCUGGAGCAAUAUAACCUAAUGUUGCUAAGGUUUUAGUGUAUAAAUCACCCUGAUCUUCACCAAGCAGUUUUGAAAUGCCAAAGUUGCUUAGGUGGGCAACCAUAUCUUCAUCCAGCAAGACGUUACUAGGCUUCACGUCACAGUGAAUCACAGGCAACGAGCACCCAUGGUGAAGAUAUUCCAAAGCACAUGCCACAUCUAUCAUUAUGCUUAGUCUCUGCUUGAUGUCGAGGAAGUAGUUGUGUGAAUACAAAUACUUCUCAAGAUUCCCAUUAGGCAUAUAAUCAAGAACUAAAGCCUUGAAAUCAUGAUUGGAACAACUAGUAAUGACUUUUACGAUAUUCCUAUGGCCAAGGCUACGCAAAAUUUCACGUUCCGUAUCAAAACUCUUGAAUGCCGCAUCCAGUUUCAGGUUGAACACUUUAACUGCAAUGACAGUUCCACUUCUGAGAACGCCUUUGUAAACAGAGCUAAAACCUCCAGAACCAAUCAGAUUACUCUCACUAAGCGCAUUAGUUGCUCGGAGAAGUUCAUAGUAUGAAAUCCUUUCACUUGCUUCGGUAGACAAUGAAUUAGCUUGUUGAGGAGCACUUUUACCUCUUCUAUACCUUAUCCAUAGGAAAACAAAGGUCAUAGGAACAAAUACAACUGCAGUUGCGAGCAAAAGAAUAAGUACUAGCAAUUUUUUUCUAUUUGAUCUGAGCUUUGAUGAAGUGGGGCAUGGUGGGACACUAAAUCUUGAAGAACCACACAAUGCUUCAUUAUAGAUGAAAAACUGACUCGAGAGGUUCUUGAAAGGACCCCUCGAGGGUAUUUCACCGUACAAUUGGUUGUGUGAAACAUUGAAAUACUUGAGGUAUUGAGGUUUCUCCAAAGACAUGGGAAUGAUUCCCGAUAAAUUAUUGUGAGAAAGGUCUAGGAAUUCCAAACCUACCAUGUUGAUCAUUGAGUCAGGUAUAGCUCCUUGCAACUUGUUGUGUCUCAAAGAAAGGUACGCUAAAUUUUGCAAGCCUCCAAUUUCUCUAGGAAUUUCAUUUGAGAAAUGAUUUAUCGACAGAUCCAUCUUUGUUAUGGCCUUUAGAUUUCCAAUUUCUGGAGGUAAUGAGCCUACCAUGUUGUUUGACGAUAAGUCAAGAACCACUAGGUCAUGAAGGUUCCCUAAGCUUGGUGGUAUAUUAGAACUCAAUUUGUUGGAACCGAGAUGCAUCUCCCUAAGGGAAGUAAUAUUCCCUAAACAAUAAGGAAGAGAUCCUGAUAAUUGAUUUCGACCCGAGUAAAUAUCACCCAAAUGCUGCAAUUUACAUAUAUGAUCUCCAAUAAAUCCUGUCAAUUUGUUGCUAUUCAAGUUGAACCGCUGAAGGUCUCUCAAGUUUCCAAUUGAUGUUGGAAUCGAUCCGACCAAGUUAUUCCCAGAAAGAUCAAGGUCUAAUAAGAUGCUUAAGUUCCCAACUUCAUUUGGAAUUCGCCCUUUGAUUUUGCCAUUGUUGGCAUAAAAAUUUCUAAGGGAUGUGGAAAGGUUCCCUGUGGAGGCCGGAAGCAUAUCAUUUAGAGGGUUGGAAGAUAUAUCAAGAAAUGUUAAAUUUUUACAAUUGGUUAAGGAAGUCAGGAAGCUUAAUGAUGAGUCGCUAGUCAAAUUGUUUCCCCCUAAAUUUAGUAACUGUAGAUGAGUCAAAUAUCCAAGAGAAUUGGGAAUCAAGCCAGUGAGUUGGUUGAUAGAAAGCUCUAGAUGAGUAAGUUUUGAACAAUUGGAAAUGGAAUAAGGAAUAGUCCCAACAAGAUUGGUUAAGUUGUUCAUAUAAAGCUCUUCAAUGUUGGGUAAGAUAGAACACAUGUUUGGGGGGAGGUUUCCUGAUAGAUUGUUGUCUGAAAGAGAAAUCAGUUUCAGCCCUGAUAUGUUGAAGAUCUCCAUUGGGAUUGAACCACUAAAUCUAUUAUUGCUAAGACUAAGUAGCUCCAACUCAAUGAGAUUGCUUAUCUCUUUGGGUAUUUCACCUGGAAACAUAUAUAGUGGAUUACUAGUGAGUUCAAAAAGUUGGUUCAAUCUAUUUUUGCUAAGAUAUAAGAAUUGCAUCUUGUUUAAGUUGUCAAUCUCCCGUGGUGAGAAUCCACUAAGAUAAAAACAUACCUGUGAAAUGGUUAUAUCCGAGAUACAAUCGUUGCAAGCUACUCAAUCUUCCAAUUUCACCAUGUAUUGGUCCAUCAAACUCAUUUUUUGAUAAAGACAAUACUUGAAGUUGUGAACAAUUUGACAAGCUUGUAGGCAUACGACCGUGAAGCUUGUUAUAAGACAGAUAAAGCCCUUUGAGUAUUGGGAGACCAUAGCAUAAACCAUUGGGAAGACUUCCUGAUAAGCUAUUGCCAGUAAAUGAAACGAUUUCGAUCCUAGAAAAAUUGAAAAUUGUGAAUGGUAUAGAACCCGUAAGUUGAUUAUAUUGUAUGGACAACCAGUUCAUGUUGUGAAGAUUGCCAAUUCCUUCUGGGAUGUUUCCUUGAAGUGAAUUAAAAGAUAAAUCUAAAGUCUCCAACCAUGAGGCAUUCGAGAGUGACAGAGGAAUAAAGCCUAAGAGAUUAUUACCCCUCAAGUUUAAUUCUCUAAGGUUUCCAAUCAUUUUUGGUAUCUGACCCUCUAUGGAAUUGAAAUUCAGAUUCAAAGUACCUAGUGUGGAUAUAUUAGAAAAUGAAGAAGGGAUGGACCCAGUGAAACUAUUAUUCCUAAGAUUUAGAACUUGAAGUUGGUGUAAAAAUCCAAACCAUGAAGGAACCUCCCCGCCAAAGUUGUAGACACUUAGAUCAAGAAACUUAAGCCGGCGCAACUGUGCCAUUUCUUGAGGCAAAUUUCCAUGGAAAUUGUUGCUUCCCAAGUCAAGAGAAACAAGAAAUGUAAGGUUCCCUAUUUCACGGGGUAUUACACCCAUAAGAUUCAUGUUGGAAAGAUUCAAGAAUCUCACUCUUUGGUGACGAGAGCCACAAGUGACUCCAUCCCAAUGGCAAACCGACGUAGCUGGAGACCAACUUUCAUCAAAGAGGUGAAGGGGUCUGACAGGAUUUGAGAUUUCAGGGAAAGAAGAGCUAAUUGAUCAGUGGAGAUAUUAAAUUGGGUCAUGGCUGAGCUACUUAUAACAAAGUACUGAAGCAACAAGAGAAAACAGGUGAAAGGAACAAGUUUCUCCAUAAUUGCAUAUAUUGGUAAGAAUGUGGAUAUGGAUUGUAAUGAUGUGGUUUUGAGACUUUAAAUAGGAAAGAGGCCUCUUUCUCUUUCUGAUUUUAAAAUCUACAAAAAUCUCUUUUAUGAGAAUUUUCCAUACAUACAUAUUUUAAGGAAAGAAGGAACAGCUUUCCUUUAUUCAUUAUUUUAGUCAUUUGAAGACUAAUAAUACAACUAAAGAAACAAAAAAAAAAGUAACUUUAAUUUGUUUAAGUAGCAGAUCAAGAAAGAAGACUCAAAAAGGAGUCUUCCACGAAGUUUGUCACCUCUACUGCAAAAGCAAUAUAAUAUCAAAAGUUUAUUUAACUAACUGCCCAUUGUCAGAUAAUAUCAAAAGCUUAUUUAACUAACUGCCCAUUGUCAGAUGAUAAGCAUACUGUUUCUUAUCAAAAUUAAGUUUACUUUUCUUAUAAGAAAAAUAAAAGUAAUACCAUAAUAACUUUUAAUUUUCCUGAAAGGAAAAGAUAAAACUUUUUCAUAUUUGGUAAACCUCUUUGUAAUAUGAAAGGUUUUGGACCUCUAUAAAUAGAAACCCUUCUUAUACCUUAACAACACAGUAACAUCCAUAAUGUAGUCUUUAAAGAAUUCAGUUUAUUGGGAGAUUUCUCCCAAUAAAUUGAAUAUUUUUUUAUAUUAGAUUUUUAAUAUGUAGGUCUCUUGACCAAAACAUAUCAAUAAUAUUAUGUUUUUAAUUUAGUUUUCUUUUGCGUUGAUUUAUCAUCUCAUGGAUUGCAAACUUUAAGCUUACGCAUGACGCCUUCUUGAUUUCGAUCCCAACAAGUGCUAUCAAAGUUUAUGGUUCAAUGAUCCGGUGGUUCAGAUUGAGGACAUAUUAAGAUCAAAGUUGCAAUCAGUUUGAUGAUGAUGAAGAUCUUUGUCUAGCUACAUGUGGAGAAGUAGUUUAAAACAUAUUUUCAACAUUUCUGCUGCUGCAUCUUUAAAAAUAAAAAUAAGAUAUUUUUUAAAUAAUUUUUAAACUUUAUUUUUAACUAUGGCAAGCAACAAUUAUGAAGAUUAUAUCAAGAACGAAGUUUAUGCCUGUGAUGUGAAGAAGACAGAUCAAGUGAAGAAAAUAAUGUCAAAAAGAGGAAAUUUGUUAGGGGUUUUUGCUCUGAUUUUCUUACCAAAAUUAUGUUUUAAGAAAAAUAAAAGUAAUACCAUAAUUAAUUUUAUUUUUCCUAAAAGGAAAAUAUAAAAAUUUUCCUUCGCAAACCUCUUUCUAUGAGGAAAGGUUUUGGAACUCUAUAAAUAGAAGGACCCCCUUCUUAUACCAUAAUAUAGAAGCAUCCACAAUGUAGUCUUUAAAGAACCUUUGUUUAGGGGGAGAUUUCUCCCAAUAAAUUUAAUGUUUUUCGAUAUUAGAUUUUCAAUAUGUAGGUUUCUUGACCAAAACAUAUUAAUAAUAUUAUGUUUUUAGUUUAGUUUUCUUUGUUGUCUGAUUUAUCAUCUCAUGGUUUGCAAACUUUAAGUUUUCGCAUGACGCCGUCUCAAUUUUGAGUCCAACACAUAGUGAGUCAACAUAAUGGGCAAUGAAGAAUGUCUGCAAUCUCAAAAACACACACAUGAACACUGUUAAAGAACAUAAAAUAAUAAACCAUUAAAUCCAUAUUAAAAAUAGCAUUUCCCAUUUAUUAACCUUUUCUUUUUUUCUUUUGGUGAAAUAUGCACGUGGCAAUAGGAAAUGAAAAAUUGACAAAUAUUUAUGCAGACACUCAAAAUAAAAUAUAAUAAUAAUGUCACAUUAUAUGUGGCCCCCCCAAUUACAUCAGUCAAGUCAAACUCUCCCUCACUUGACAGUGGUUUUGUUUGCCUCCCCUCUCACUGCUCUUCCCCUAUGCUUUCUCUCAUCCUUAUUACUUCUGAAAGCAGCACCAAAGAGGCAAAAAAGUAGGAAGGGGGCGACAAGGGUACAGAAUGUGAAUGGAGGAGUUGCAAAGGCGGCAGCAAGGGUGAUGAAAGGGAGUGUAGGAGUUGUGAAAGCGGAGGAGAAAGUGAAGGGGGUUGCGGAGGAGAUGCAAUACCGGGGAGAUGCAAUACUGGGGAUUACGGAAGAGGCCGUCGGGGAAAUACACUGCAACCACUAGAGAUCCGAGGAAAAUAUGCAACUAUUUUUAUAGAUUCGUUAAAACAAUUAAAUUUCUAUUAAAAUAGGUGUGUAAUGAAUAAUAAAAGGCAACAAUUACAAAUAAAUCUAUAUAAGUAUGACAAGAAGCAAUAAUUCAGGGUGUAUUUUAAUAUGACAAGAAGAAAUAAUUCGGGGUAUAUUUUAUGUUUAAAAUUAAUUUUUAAUUUUAAGCAAUGAACUGUAAAUUGUGAACUUUAAUUAGUAGUUGGCAAAUUUUAAAUAAAGUCACAAAUAACUAUUUUGAGCCCAAAUAAAAAUAGAGACUUUCUAUAGAAAUUCAAAGAAAAUUAAAUUUAAGAAGCGUAAUAGACAGAAAAAAUAAAACAGAGAAGGAAAAAUACAAUAUUCACAUCCUUCUUAAGACUUUAUUCAUAACAAUAUAAAUGGAAAAAGAAAUAUAGAAUCGGUACAUGGUUGAUUGAGCUCUUGUCGGCACUAUCUCACAUAAUCAAUCAAAUUUCAAGAGUCUUCUUCAACGAGUCAAACUAAAACAAGAAUCAAGUAGUACAAUAAAAAAAAUGUCUUUCGCUACUAUAACUAUUGAAUGAAAAAGUUAAUUUUGUGGGGAAGGAGUCUCAUGAAAUAAAAAAGAUGAAUUUAUAUAGAUAAAGUUUUGAAUUAAAUAUUUAUAUCAAUACUAAUACCACCAAAUCAACCAAGUCUUUUACAUCCCAAUCAGAAUUAUAAAUAUGGUGGCAAAAUUCCUCUAAUUAGCCAAAGACUUGGCAAGUCAACCAAGUCUUUCUUUAUUUUUUGUGUGCUUAAUUCUUUGUAAAUAGUCUUGCUUUCAUAUUCUCUAGAGUUGUGCGGUGAAAAGUAAUGUCAGUUUACUAACUUAUACUAUAAUGUCUUCUUAAUAUUAAUCAAGUUUAAUCCAUUUGGCACUACUGGAUUUAUCCCAGGCAAUGAGAGCCUUUCAAGAUAGUCAAGUUUUGUCUAGUGAAUUACCUUAUAUAAUGAUGAAUAAUUCCAUUCACUAUCAUCACUCACUUAAUUAUACUAUUAUUUUUCUAGGUAAAGGCAACUCUCUAGAUCUUAUGCUAUGAACACAUCUCUGGCCAAAUAGUGAACAUGAACAAAACUUGCUAUAUGGUGGCUCCAAACAUGUCACGGUCCGAACAGGGGCCCUCACCGUGACAAGCAUUCCGAAUCAUGAAGGCCCAAAACACCCCUAUCUAUCUGGUAAUCAUGCACAUAAUUCAUGCGAUAAAAUGAAAUGCGGAAGAUACACAAUAUCACAGAAACAUGGUCAUGAAAUCUAAUGAAAUCAAUAAGGGGAAAUAACGUCCCACAACAUCUAUCGACAUCCGAAAACCGUUUGCGAAAUCUCUACUAAUGACUAAAACAAACAACUAUCUGAAAACAGGGACAAGGUCCCCAGUAGACCCAAAACUAUUAAAUGAUAAAUAAACUGCCAGACAUCAGGCCUUCAAGAAUAUAGAAGGCUCACCACUCGACUCUGCAAAUCUGUCUGAAGAAUCUACUAAUUAUCUGAACUGCAAGACUGUGCCUCCGAACCUGGGAGGGAAGGUGUAAUGCCCUGCAAUUCGGACUACAAUAUAGACCAUGAUUUCGAUGCGUUGUUAAUUCUGAAGCCAUAAAAUUCUAUGCCAAUACGGCAUGUUAAUUAUCGUGUAGCAUAUGAAAUCCACUCAAGCUUCAAUUUAGAUCAUAGAGGUCCUACAAUUCAAGGACGAGUCAAAACUAUUUUGAUCGACUAAGUUUUAGUGGACGUUGUAAAGUGUGUCAUCUUCCUUCAACCAUAACUCUCUGUAUAUGUCGAAUUAGGAAACCUACUAUGUGUCAAAUGAUAGGUAUUCGAGUUAGCUUUCCAACGACACCUAUUUGGCUAAAAUCCGACACCUGAGCAAGAAGUUAUAACCUUUUAAAGUGAUAAGCGAUGCCUAACCAAUCGCCCAUGGCCACUGGAAAGCAUAGACGAUAGCCUAGGCGGCACCUAUGUGAUAUCAGGCGAUAGCCUAGGCGGCACCUAUGUGAACAUAGGCGAUAGCCUAGGCGACGCCUAUGUGAAAAUAGGCAAUGAGAUGGGCGGCGCCUAUGUAAGGAAUUCUAAUGAUUUAAACACUCCGUGUUGAGGAUAAAGUGGUCCUUUUCCACCCUUACUUAGCCCUAAAACACGAGAUUUAGUUCCAAGGAUCCCAAAAUACAUAUUCUUUCAUCAAAAGUGCUUAAGAUUCUCCUUAGGGUUUUAAAAAUAAAAACCCAAAUAGUUCAAGAUUUGACCUUAGGUUUUCAAAGAUAACUACAUAUUCGGAAUCACCAAUCUGCAAUCUUCACGAAGCAUUUAUUAUCCUUGGAAAUAGAGGUACAUGGGGUUAUCCAAAAAUAUCAUGGGUGUAGUUUUAUGAACAUGCAUGCUUUUAAAUGGGGUUUUCAAUCAAAUGCUAAUAUCUUGCUUUCAAUAUGAUUUCUAAGUCAUUUUCUUUAUGUUAUGGGAAUUGUUUGCCUAUAUACUUCAAUGGUUGAAAUCAUGCACAUGUGAUUUGAGAUUUUCCAUGGAAGUUGAUAAAUAUGAAUGAUAAAUUAUUUUAAAAUUCCCAUGAUAAUGUUUCGAUACUCCAUAUUAUAUUGUGAUCAACAAAAGAGAGCAUGAAUUUGAAAUAAAUAUUGUUCACCACUCGUAAAUGAUGAAGCACCUUGGUUUUUACAUGGUUAUGCAUAUGUGGAUGUGACAUUGGUGACUUGCAAAUAGGGUAUGAUGAUACCCUUCAAAAUACAAUAUGUGAUUGAAAAAAAAUUUAAAUUUGAAUGCAUUGAUUUUACAUGAGAAAAGUGGAUGCCCGAAGAAGGUGAUUGAGACACAAGGGCUCAUCGCUAGAAUAACGUGUUUGCCGACACGAAAUAUUGGUACCAGGCUAAGCGAUCUAUGUACUUGACUUCAUGUUGGGACUAUAGGUAGGAGCCUGAGCCAAGUGAUCUUGGGCACUAUCAUAGGGUUGAGACACCAUGCUGUGUCGUCUUGAGUGUCUCUCCCUAACUUAUACUCUAAUCUCGGCGGCAAUCGAGGUUUGACAGUUGGUGUAAAUUAUGUAGGGUAUUCCACCUAGCUCAGUUGCAUUUCAUUACUGUUGAGAAAAAUUAUUGUAUUACACCCAUGUAUUUUCAAAUUAUACGAAAUUGCUUUAUAAUGGCUCUCAUCUAUGUUUUGUAAAAAUAUUAUGUUUUGCUUUGAUAUCUCUGCGUGCCAGGACUUUUAUGCUGACCCCCUCCCCUCUCCAACCUCUUAGGUUCAUAGGCCCAGUCUAGGGGUCAAGAGAACCAGUAGAUCUUUCAGACAGAGUUGCAGAGACAAGUGGUGAGCCUUCUAUGUUUUUGAAGGUCUUAUGUCCUGUAGUCCUUUUAUCUUAUAUUAGUUUUGGGUCUGCUGGGGGCCUUAUCCCAGUUUUUAGAUAGUUAUUUGUUUCAGUCAUAUAGUAGAGAUUUCGUAGACGAUUUUCGAGAUGUUGAUUUAGAUUGUGGGAUAUUAUUCCCCAUUAUUGUUUUCAUAUGAUUCUUGACCAUGUUUUCGUUAUAUUGUGUUUCUUCCACAUUACUUUGAUCAUAUAAAUUAGGUGCAUGAUUACCAGACAGAUAGGGGUGUUUUGGGCCUCCAUGGUUCGAAAUGCUCGUCAUGUCCAGGCCCUAGUUUGGGUCGUGAUAAACUUGGUAUCAAAGCACGGUUCAUGGUCCCAGGGUGUCUGCAAAAUCAUGUCGAGUAGAGUCUUAUUUAUGGGUGUAUAGCGCACCACACUUAUAAGCAGGAGGCUGCUAGGUGUUUAGGAAAUAUUUUCCUUCUUUGUGAUUUAGUUCAUGCUUCAGAGUCUGAACUGUCCCCUAAUCAAUGAUCACUUGUGUUUCAGAAACACAGUUAUGCCUCCGUGUCGUAUCGUCGAUCAGAAUGCUCAGGCGGAUGAGGUUCGUCCCACCUAUGGGAUGCAAACCCAUAAUAGGGCUCACACUCUAGAAUUUAUCCCUACUCCGGGGUUCCCUCUAGUCCCAACUAGUCCACCUCGGGCUCCGCGGACUAAUGUCAACCAUCCCUCAACUGCGCUAGGAGAUAUUUCAAAUGUAGAAUUCAAAUGGUUUAUUCAUGUGCUAACACAGUUGGUAGCCAACCAAGCUCAACGAUCGUAUGAUGUUGGGUCUGCAUCUAUUACAUCUGAGGCUACUAGAGUCGGACAUUUUAUGAAGAUGAACCCACCUAAGUUCACUGGCACCAAGCUGGAGGAAGAUCCACAGGAGUUCGUGGAUGAGAUGGAAAAGAUCUUCAAGGUGAUGCAUAUGGAUGAGGUUGAAGGGGUGGAGUUAGCAACCUAUCAGCUCAAAGACGUUGCGAGUCAGUGGUAUGUCGAAUAGGAAGAUGAAAAAGGUGAAAGUGCUGAGUCCGCAGUUUGGGGUGAAUUUUUGGAAGCCUUCCUUGAUCGAUUCUUUCCUCUGGAGUUGAGGGAGGCCAAAGUGGAAGAGUUUAUGAAUCUGAAGCAGGGCAGUAUGAGUGUCCAGGAGUACACUUUGAAGUUUAAUAAACUGGCCUUCUAUGCACCAGAGUUGACUAGUAAUAUGAGGGCCCGAUUGAGGAAAUUUGCAUCUGGCCUUGCUGAUAACCUGGUACUUGAGUGCCAGGGGGAUAUGUUGAAUAAGGAGUUAGACUUUGAUUGACUGACCGCUCAUAUACAUUAAGUGGAAGAGAAGAAGAAAAAGAUUGUUGAAUUUAGAGAGAAAGAUAGACAGGCUAAGAGAGCUAGAUCUGCGGACCAGCACCAGAGUCAGCCGCAGAGUGGUAAAUAGGGUAUUAAGUGGUCGAAGAAGAAGAAGUUUUGGAAUAAUGCACUGUCAGCAGCCAGCGCCCCAACAACCAGACCACCGACAGACAGACAAACUCAGAGUUUUCAGACUCCUCAUGGGUCCAAAGCUCUAGGUACACAUUCUUAAGGCAGUGUGGCCCAGCAACGUUAUACUCGUUUGCAGUGUGAGGUUUGCGGAAGGAAUCAUCUAAGAAAGUGCUGGUUUGAGGGGAAAAACUACUAUACUUGUGGCUAAGUGGGUCACCUUCAAAGAGAUUGUCCAUUUGCUGGAGUAAAUGCGGGGGGAGGGGGGCUAAGUCCCAAGUCGCCUCCACAGCCCCUUUCCCUAAGGGUGCCCCUUCAGCUACCGGAAGUGGUCUUCUUUGACUAACCGCUAGGAGGCGGAAGCUUCACCAGAUGUUGUCACUGGUAUGUUACAAAUGUUUUCUUGUGAUGUUUAUGUUUUUCUUGAUCCCGGGUCUACUUUAUCUUAUGUGACCCUUUAUGUGGCUGUUGGUUUCGGGUUUGAGCCCGAAGUUAUUGUAGAAACCUUUUCUGUUUCUACUCCAAUAGGUGAUUUUGUUGUUGCUAGAAGGGUAUAUAGAAAUUGUGUCAUGUCUACUCAUAUUAGGAAAACUGUGGCAGACCUUAUAGAACUUGAUAUGAUAGAUUUUGAUGCCAUCCUUGGGAUGGACUGGCUCUAUUCAUGUUAUGCCACCCUUGAUUGCAGAACCCAAAAGGUCACUUUUUCUUUCCCGAAUGAGACACCAGUUGUUUGGGUUGGGAGUUCUGUGGAACCUAAAGGUCAUUUUAUCUCUUAUCUUAGAGCCUAAAAACUUAUCUCAAAAGGUUGUAUGUAUUAUCUAAUCCGAGUAAAGAUUCAAAAGUUGGAAACCUUCCUCUGCAGUCAGUCCCUGUAGUGAAUGAAUUCCUAGAAGUCUUUUCCGAAGAUCUCCCAGGGAUACCCCCUGAUAGGGAGAUAAAUUUUGGCAUUGAUGUGUUGCCAGACACUCGUUCUAUUUCUAUUCCGCCAUGUAGAAUGGCUCCCGCAGAACUAAAGGAGUUAAAGGAACAGCUUGCAGACCUCCUAGACAAAGGUUUUAUUUGUCCUAGUGUUUCCCCAUGGGGUGCACCCAUGCUCUUCGUGCAAAAGAAGGCUGGGUCCCUUCGGAUGUGCAUAGAUUACCGUCAGCUGAAUAAGGUCACCAUUAAAAAUAAAUAUCCUCUUCCUAGGAUUGAAGACCUUUUUGACCAGCUUCAGGGUGCCAAGUGUUUUUCCAAAAUAGACCUUUGUUUGGGUUAUCAUCGGUUAAAAGUUAGGGAGUCAGACAUACCCAAGAUAGCCUUCCGAACCCGAUAUGGUCACUACGAAUUUCUAGUCAUGUCCUUCGGGUUGACUAACGUCCCUGCAGCCUUCAUGGAUCUUAUGAAUAGAGUGUUUCAUCAGUUUCUUGACUCGUUCGUCAUUGUAUUUAUUGAUGAUAUUCUAAUCUAUUCUAAGAAUAAAGAGGAUCACGCCAAUCACCUCUGAAUUAUCCUUCAGACCCAUAAGGAUCAUCAACUGUAUGCCCAAUUUUCUAAGUGUGAAUUCUGGUUAGAUGCUAUUGCCUUCCUGGGGAGUAUUGUGUCCAGUGAGGGGAUAAGAGUGGAUCCCCAGAAAGUUGAAGCAGUGAGAAAAUGGCCCAGACCCACGACUCCAACCGAUAUUCAGAGCUUCUUGGGUUUGGCGGGGUUUUACAGAAGGUUCGUAGAGAGUUUUUCUUUCAUAGCUUCUCCGCUUACUAAACCGACUUAGAAAAAGAUGAAUUUUGUGUGUUCUGACUUGUGUGAAAAUAGUUUUGAGAAAUUGAAGGACAAGAUGGCUACUGCUUCUGUUUUGACCCUUCCCGAGGGUGUAGAUAUUUUAUGGUUUAUUGUGAUGCGUCCCAUGUGGGACUUGGUUGUGUAUUGAUGCAGCGUGGUAAGGUGAUAGCUUAAGCAUCUAGGCAGCUAAAGGUGCAUGAGCACAAUUACCCCACUCAUGACUUGGAGUUAGCAGCCGUGGUGUUUUCACUUAGAAUUUGGAGGCACUAUCUCUAUGGAGUACAUGUUGAUAUUUAUACUAACCAUAAGAGUUUACAGUAUGUUUUCUCACAGAAAGAAUUAACCCUCAAGCAUAGGCGUUGGAUGGAACUUUUGAAAGUCUAUGAUAUGAGUCUGCAUUACCCUCCGGGUAAGGCAAAUGUUGUAGCCGACGCCCUCAGCAGAUUGUCUAUGGGCAGCCUUUCUCAUGUAGAAGAAAGAAAGAAAGAUAUGGUGAAGGAUAUUCACUGCCUUGUAAAUCUGGGAGUACAACUCUUAGAUUCCGAAGAUGGAGGGGUGAUUGUUCAUGAGUUAGCUAAGUCAUCUCUUUGUGCUGAAGAUAAGAAGAAGCAGGUUGAAGAUCCCAUCUUGAUGCAAAUAAAGAAAGAUGUGGGUCAACAAAAGGUUAUGUCAUUUGAAAUUGGUUGCGGUGGUAUUAUGAGAUUUCAGGGUAGGUUGUGCAUUCCAAAUAAGGCACACACUUUGAGGUAUGUCGUUCACCCAGGAUCUAAUAAGAUGUACCAUGAUCUGAAAACCUUGUAUUGGUGGAAUAACAUAAAACAUGAUGUAGCUGAUUUGUGUCCAAGUGUUUGAAUUGUCAGCAAGUGAAGGUGGAACACAUGAGGCCGAGUGGUACUUGCCAAGAGAUAGCCCUGCCUUUAUGGAAGUGGAGAUGAUAAAUAUGGACUUCAUUACAGGACUUUCGAGAUCCCGAAACCAGUAUGAUUCUAUAUGGUUGAUUGUAGAACGGUUGACCAAGUCAGCACACUUUUUGCCUGUGAGUACUAGUUAUUCGAGAGAGGUUUAUGCUAAGAUUUACAUUGAGGAGAUAGUUCGAUUGCAUGGGGCACCAGUGUCCAUUAUAUCCGAUAGAGGUACGCAGUUUUCAUCUUAGUUUUGGAGAUCUUUUCAGAAGGGUUUAGGUACACAAGUGAAUUUGAGCACAACUUUCCACCCUCAGACGGAUAGGCAAGAUGAGCGUACCAUUCAGACCCUCGAAUAUAUGUUGAGGAAAUGCGUCUUUGAUUUCAAAGGUAGUUAGGUAGAUCACCUUACACUGGUUGAAUUUGCUUACAAUAAUAGUUACCAUCCUAGCAUCAAGAUGGACCCUUUUGAGGCUUUGUAUGGGAGGAGAUGUAGGUCUCUAAUAGGAUGGUAUGAAGUGGGUGAGACUCAGUUUUAUGGAACUGAUCUUGCUCAUCAGGCGAUGGAGAAAGUCAAGAUCAUUAGAGAACGACUUAAGACUGCUCAGAGUCAUCAGAAGUCCUAUGUCGAUGUUUGGAGAAGAGAACUAGAGUUUGAAAUUGGUGAUUUGGUGUUUCUCAAGGUUUCUCCUAUGAAAGGAGUUAUGAGGUUUAGAAAAAGGGGUAAAUUGAGCCCUUGUUAUAUAGGACCAUAUCAGAUUUUGAAAAGGAUUGGUACAUUUGCGUAUGAGUUUGAAUUGCCUACAAGUUUGGGUUCCAUUCAUCCGGUAUUCCAUGUAUCCAUGUUGAAGAAAUGCAUUGGAGAUCAUUCUAUGGUAUUGCCAGUAAAGGGUAUCAAAGUGAUAGAUUUCUUGUCUUAUGAAGAAGAGCCCGUUGAAACUUUAGAUCGCCAAGUUCGAAAGCUGAAGAGCAAAGAGAUAGCCUCAGUAAAGGUACUAUAGAGGAAUCAGAAAGUCGAAGAAGCAGCUUGGGAGUCCGAAGAUGACAUGAGAAUUAGAUAUCCCAAUUUGUUUGCUUCGAUGGAGGACAAGACAGAAGGUACUAUUCUUAUCUUAUCUUUCCUAGUCCUUUAUUAUUCUUAAAAUCGUGUCUGUCUGUGUCCCGCAUCAUCAUUCGGGGAUGAAUGAUCCUAAGGAGGGGAUAAUGUAACGCCCCGCAAUUCGGACUACAAUAUAGACCAUGAUUUUGAUGCGUUGUUAAUUCCGAAGCCAUAAAAUCCUACGCCAAUAUGGCAUGUUAAUUAUCGUGUAGCAUGUGAAAUUCACUCAAGCUUGAAUUUAGACCAUACAGGUCCUACAACUCAAGGACGAGUCGAAACUAUUUUGAUCGACUAAGUUUUAGUGGACGUUGUAAAGUGUGUCAUCUUCCUUCAACCAUAACUCUCUGUAUAUGUCGAAUUAGGAAACCUACUAUGUGUCAAAUGAUAGGUAUUCGAGUUAGCUUUCCAACGACACCUAUUUGGCUAAAAUCCGACACCCGAGCAAGAAGUGACCUUUCAAAGUGAUAAGCGACGCCUAACCAAUCACCCAUGGCCACUGGAAAGCAUAGGCGAUAGCCUAGACGGCGCCUAUGUGAACAUAGGCAAUAGCCUAGGUGGAGCCUAUGUAAACAUAGGCUAUAUCCUAGGCGGUGCCUAUAUAAACAUAGGCGAUAACCUAGGCGGCGCCUAUAUGAACAUAGGCAAUGAGAUGGGCGGCGCCUAUGUAAGGAAUUCUAGUGAUUUAAACACUCCGUGUUGAGGACAAAGUGGUCCUUUUCCUCCCUUACUUAGCCCUAAAACAGGAGAUUUAGUUCCAUGGACCCCAAAAUACAUAUUCUUUCAUCAAAAGUGCUCAAGAUUCUCCUUAGGAUUACAAAAAUAAAAACCCAAAUAGUUCAAGAUUUGACCGUAGGUUUUCAAAGAUAAUUACAUAUUCGGAAUCACCAAUCCGCAAUCUUCAAGAAAAAUCUAUUAUCCUUGGAAAUAGAGGUACAUGGGGUUAUCCAAAAAUCUCAUGGGUGUAGUUUUAUGAACAUUCAUGCUUUUAAAUGGGGGUUUUCAAUCAAAUGCUAAUAUCUUGCUUUCAAUAUGAUUUCUAAGUCAUUUUCUUUAUGUCAUGGAAAUUGUUUGCCUAUAUACUUCAAUAGUUGAAACCAUGCAUAUGUGAUUUGAGAUUUUCCAUGGAAGUUGAUAAAUAUGAAUCAUAAAUUAUUUUCAAAUUCCCAGGAUAAUGUUUCAAUACUCCAUAUUAUAUUGUGAUCAACAAAAGAGAACAUGAAUUUGAAAUAAAUAUUGUUCACCACUUGUAAAUGAUGAAGCACCUUAUUUUUUACAUGAUUAUGCAUAUGUGGAUGUGACAUUGAUGACUUACAAGUCGGGUAUGACGAUACCCUUUAAAAUACAAUAUGUGAUUGAAACAAAAAUGAAAUUUGAAUGCGUUGAUUUUACAUGAGAAAGGUGGAUUCCCGAAGAAGGCGUUUGAGACACAAGGGCUCAUCGCUGGAA